This is a non-coding RNA of Alligator sinensis (Chinese alligator), 112 nucleotides long. The record is from Rfam. NCBI's taxonomy places the organism in Eukaryota, Metazoa, Chordata, Crocodylia, Alligatoridae.
AGUCUCUGGUUUCUCUUCAAGUCGCAUAAAUCUUUCACCUUAUACUAAAGAUUUCCAUGGAUAGGAGCAGUUAUAUAAUUUGUGGGUUUUUUGGUUCCAAGAUGGCAAGGAA